AAACCGUGGUGUGGGCAACAUCUCAGCAGGUUCUUGUACCUCUCCCAAGCAUCAUACAUACUCUCAUCAUCAAAUUGCACAAAAGAAGAAAUAUCAUAUUACGCAUCU
This 108-nucleotide small nucleolar RNA is filed under the name Ricinus communis (castor bean). RNAcentral describes it as "Plant small nucleolar RNA R71". It matches the Rfam family "Plant small nucleolar RNA R71". From Rfam's summary of the family: R71 is a member of the C/D box family of snoRNAs containing the C (UGAUGA) and D (CUGA) box motifs. Multiple nearly identical copies of this snoRNA have been identified in Arabidopsis, and it is thought to function as a 2'-O-ribose methylation guide for 18S ribosomal RNA. The record is from Rfam by way of RNAcentral. Lineage: Eukaryota; Viridiplantae; Streptophyta; Magnoliopsida; Malpighiales; Euphorbiaceae.